RNAcentral lists this transfer RNA (65 nucleotides) under Bambusiphaga luodianensis. Its description in RNAcentral is "tRNA-Ala". Lineage: Eukaryota; Metazoa; Arthropoda; Insecta; Hemiptera; Delphacidae. The record is from RNAcentral.
AGGAGAAUAGUUAAAUAUAACAUUUAAAUUGCAAUUAAAAAUUACAAAAAAAAUUGUUUCUCUUA